UACGUAGGGUGCAAGCGUUACUCGGAAUUACUGGGCGUAAAGCGUGCGCAGGCGGCUUUGCAAGCCAGAUGUGAAAUCCCCGGGCUUAACCUGGGAACUGCAUUUGUGACUGCAAAGCUAGAGUACGGCAGAGGGGGAUGGAAUUCCGCGUGUAGCAGUGAAAUGCGUAGAUAUGCGGAGGAACACCGAUGGCGAAGGCAAUCCCCUGGGCCUGUACUGACGCUCAUGCACGAAAGCGUGGGGGGCAAACAGG
Molecule: ribosomal RNA, 253 nt
Filed under: uncultured bacterium
Lineage: Bacteria
Description: partial 16S ribosomal RNA
Rfam family: Bacterial small subunit ribosomal RNA
Source: RNAcentral